RNAcentral lists this ribosomal RNA (253 nucleotides) under uncultured bacterium. RNAcentral's name for it is "partial 16S ribosomal RNA". It matches the Rfam family "Bacterial small subunit ribosomal RNA", at positions 524 to 776 of the family's 1533-position model. The record is from RNAcentral.
UACGAAGGGGGCUAGCGUUGUUCGGAAUCACUGGGCGUAAAGGGCGCGUAGGCGGCUUUAUAAGUCGGGGGUGAAAGCCUGUGGCUCAACCACAGAAUUGCCUUCGAUACUGUAGGGCUUGAGACCGGAAGAGGUAAGUGGAACUGCGAGUGUAGAGGUGAAAUUCGUAGAUAUUCGCAAGAACACCAGUGGCGAAGGCGGCUUACUGGUCCGGUUCUGACGCUGAGGCGCGAAAGCGUGGGGAGCGAACAGG